CGCAUCUGUGCAUGCAGCAUAUCAAUAAGCGGAGGAAAAGGAAACUAACAAGGAUUCCCCUAGUAACGGCGAGUGAAGCGGGAAGAGCUCAAAUUUGAAAUCUUCAAGGUUUUACCUUGACGAAUUGUAGUUUAAAGAAGUGUUUUCUGCUGAAGGUUUUGGUAAAAGUUCUUUGGAAUAGGACAUCAUAGAGGGUGAGAAUCCCGUAUUUGACCUUUACUUUCAACUUUGUGAUACACUUUCAAAGAGUCGGAUUGUUUGGGAAUGCAGUCCUAAAUGGGUGGUAAAUUUCAUCUAAAGCUAAAUAUUGGCGAGAGACCGAUAGCGAACAAGUACCGUGAGGGAAAGAUGAAAAGAACUUUGAAAAGAGAGUUAAACAGUACGUGAAAUUGUCAAAAGGGAAGCGUUUGACACCAGUGUUGCUUUUCUGAAAAUCAAUUAAAGAACUGUUUAUGCUAAGCUGUUUAGACUUUAUCAGCUAAUCUGUUUAGUUUUGAGCUUUUCUUUAAUGCACUUUUCAGUUAACAAGUCAACAUCAAUUUCUUUUGCUGUAAAAAAGCUUGAGGAAGGUGGCUUGAGAUUCGUCUUAAGUGUUUAUAGCCUCUUGCCUAUGCAGUCGGAGAGAUUGAGGUCUGCAGCGUAGAUCCUUCGGGGCUAAAUGCAUUUGUGCUAAGUUAUAGCAUUUUAUAGACAACUUGUUGACUAUGAUUUGUCUUGUAGCUUACUCGCUUAUGUUAUUUUACCUACGCUUAGGAUGUUGACAGCAGUAUAGACUGU
Molecule: ribosomal RNA, 777 nt
Filed under: uncultured Neocallimastigales
Lineage: Eukaryota; Fungi; Neocallimastigomycota; Neocallimastigomycetes; Neocallimastigales
Description: partial large subunit ribosomal RNA
Rfam family: Eukaryotic large subunit ribosomal RNA
Source: RNAcentral